This 525-nucleotide ribosomal RNA is filed under the name Pyrophorus sp. UPOL RK0213. RNAcentral's name for it is "partial 16S ribosomal RNA". It matches the Rfam family "Bacterial large subunit ribosomal RNA", at positions 1816 to 2610 of the family's 2925-position model. The record is from RNAcentral. Lineage: Eukaryota; Metazoa; Arthropoda; Insecta; Coleoptera; Elateridae.
CAUGUCCUUUUGAUUAUUAUUUAAGGUCUGAUCUGCUCAAUGAGGAAUUAAAUUGCCGCGGUAUUUUGACCGUGCGAAGGUAGCAUAAUAAUUAGUUUUUUUAUUGGAAGCUGGAAUGAAUGAUUGGACGAGAGAGUGACUGUCUUCUGAUAAAUUUGUUUUUGAAUUUAACUUUUGAGUAAAAAGGCUCAAAUGAUGUUAAAAGACGAGAAGACCCUAUAGAGUUUAACAUUCUUUCCUGUGAUAGGUUUUUGGAAUUUGUUAUUUUCAUUUGAAUUGGGUGUUUAGUUGGGGUGACUGGAAGAUUUAGUAAACUCUUCUAAUUUAUUAUUACUGAUUGGUAAGUAUGAAUUCUGGAUUUUUCAAGUUUAAUGAAAAUUACCUUAGGGAUAACAGCGUAAUUUCUUUUUAGAGUUCUUAUUGGAAGAGAAGUUUGCGACCUCGAUGUUGGAUUAAAAUUAAUCCUCGGCGCAGUAGCUGAGUUAUUAGGUCUGUUCGACCUUUGAAAUUUUACAUGAUCUGAGU